This 816-nucleotide ribosomal RNA is filed under the name uncultured organism. RNAcentral describes it as "bacterial SSU rRNA". It matches the Rfam family "Bacterial small subunit ribosomal RNA", at positions 506 to 1328 of the family's 1533-position model. The record is from RNAcentral.
UGCCAGCAGCCGCGGUAAUACGGAGGAUGCAAGCGUUAUCCCGAUUUACUAGGUUUAAAGGGUGCGUAGGCGGGGUAUCAAGUCAGUGGUGAAAUCCUGCAGCUCAACUGUAGAACUGCCAUUGAAACUGAUAUUCUUGAGUAUAGUUGAGGUAGGCGGAAUGUGUUAAGUAGCGGUGAAAUGCAUAGAGAUAACACAGAACACCGAUUGCGAAGGCAGCUUACUAAACUAUUACUGACGCUGAGGUACGAAAGCGUGGGGAGCGAACAGGAUUAGAUACCCUGGUAGUCCACGCCGUAAACGUUGAUCACUAGUUGUUUGCGAUACAUUGUGAGCGACUGAACAAAAGCAUUAAGUGAUCCACCUGGGGAGUACGUUGGCAACGAUGAAACUCAAAGGAAUUGACGGGGGCCCGCACAAGCGGAGGAACAUGUGGUUUAAUUCGAUGAUACGCGAGGAACCUUACCUGGGCUUAAAUGUAAGACGACUAACAGGGAAACUUGUUAUCUUUCGAGCGUCCUACAAGGUGCUGCAUGGUUGUCGUCAGCUCGUGCCGUGAGGUGUCGGGUUAAGUCCCAUAACGAGCGCAACCCUUAUCGUUAGUUGCCAGCGGGUAAUGCCGGGGACUCUAGCGAAACUGCCAUCGUAAGAUGUGAGGAAGGUGGGGAUGACGUCAAAUCAGCACGGCCCUUAUGUCCAGGGCUACACACGUGUUACAAUGGUCGAAACAAAGGGCAGCUACUUGGUGACAAGAUGCUAAUCUCUAAAAUCGAUCUCAGUUAGGAUCGAAGUCUGCAAUUCGACUUCGUGAAGUUG